GGCCCCGUGCGGUCGGCGUUCAACUUCUUAGAGGGACAAACACGCUGAUCCGCCCAUUUUGGCGCGUGUGCAGCCCCGGACAUCUAAGGGCAUCACAGACCUGUUAUUGCUCCAUCUUGCUUGGCUGAAUGCCACUUGUCCCUCUAAGAAGUUGAACGCCGACCGCACGGGGCCACGUAACUAUUUAGCAAGCUGGAGUCUCGUUCGUUAUCGGAAUGAUCCAGACAAAUCGCUCCACCAACUAAGAACGGCCAUGCACCACCACCCACAGAAUCGA
Sinocyclocheilus grahami is the source of this 277-nucleotide long non-coding RNA. RefSeq lists it as uncharacterized. The record is from RefSeq and is a predicted model, not a curated record. Lineage: Eukaryota; Metazoa; Chordata; Actinopteri; Cypriniformes; Cyprinidae. The transcript has 2 exons.